GCACUAAAACUCGAACCUCAGUUGGAUUUUGCUCGCUUAGAUCUCAACUCGGAUCAAAUUUUCUUUCUGGUCCCUCUCACCACAUAAGCGGUGCCAAGAACACACUUUGGAAAACCUGACAUCAUUUUCAUGAGGACAGCAGGCAAUUAUAUUUCCAGCAUGGUUUAAACCAGCUCUCUGCAAAUAUCGUCGUGGAAAACAAUGGAUUCUAGCCUAGCUGUAUUCUCCACUCUUGGGAGCCCCUUUUCGGAGGCAUCCAGUUCCCGAAGCCAUUAUCAUCCCUCCCAGGCCCAGCCGUUGAGGCAGAAGAAGCAACAGACGGUGAGAAGAGGAUAAAGUCAUGCCAUGUGGUCUCUAAGGAAAAGCAAACAGCAACUGAAAUCGGACUGUUCUUUUGGAUAUCCGGUGAUCCAUCCUUAUGGAAUUAGAUGAUAAGAAUUGGGAAUCUAGCUAUU
This is a non-coding RNA of Thamnophis sirtalis, 455 nucleotides long. The record is from RefSeq and is a predicted model, not a curated record. Lineage: Eukaryota; Metazoa; Chordata; Lepidosauria; Squamata; Natricidae.